AGUGAACGCUGGCGGUAGGCCUAACACAUGCAAGUCGAACGGCAGCACAGGAGAGCUUGCUCUCUGGGUGGCGUGUGGCGGACGGGUGAGGAAUACAUCGGAAUCUACUCUGUCGUGGGGGAUAACGUAGGGAAACUUACGCUAAUACCGCAUACGACCUACGGGUGAAAGCAGGGGACCUUCGGGCCUUGCGCGAUUGAAUGAGCCGAUGUCGGGUUAGCUAGUUGGCGGGGUAAAGGCACACCAAUGGGACGAACCGUAGCUGGUCUGAGAGGAUGAUCAGCCACACGGGAACUGAGACACGGUCCAGACUCCUACGGGAGGCAGCAGUGGGGAAUAUUGGACAAUGGGCGCAAGCCUGAUCCAGCCAUACCGCGUGGGUGAAGAAGGCCUUCGGGUUGUAAAGCCCUUUUGUUGGGAAAGAAAUCCAGCUGGCUAAUACCCGGUUGGGAUGACGGUACCCAAAGAAUAAGCACCGGCUAACUUCGUGCCAGCCGCCGCCGUAA
RNAcentral lists this ribosomal RNA (506 nucleotides) under uncultured bacterium. RNAcentral describes it as "partial 16S ribosomal RNA". It matches the Rfam family "Bacterial small subunit ribosomal RNA", at positions 29 to 523 of the family's 1533-position model. The record is from RNAcentral.